Molecule: microRNA precursor, 81 nt
Filed under: Ovis aries (sheep)
Lineage: Eukaryota; Metazoa; Chordata; Mammalia; Artiodactyla; Bovidae
Description: miRNA (ENSOARG00000023150.1)
Source: RNAcentral
GUUAGGUUGGCCAAAAAGUUUCUUCGGAUUUUUCCAUAACACCUUAUGGAAAACCCUGAAUGAACUUUUUGACCAAGCCAA